Molecule: non-coding RNA, 117 nt
Organism: Streptomyces sp.
Lineage: Bacteria; Bacillati; Actinomycetota; Actinomycetes; Kitasatosporales; Streptomycetaceae
Source: Rfam
GAAGGUAGGUCCUUCGGCAUCGGCAUGCAGGUGCAGGUGUCAAACCACCAUGAGCUGCUGCGGUGAAUGAGCCGUGGUGGUGAGCGUCAUGGAAAAGCCGUACUAAAUAUGGCAGGU